AGAGAGAGACAUGCGCGCAUAUCAAUAAGCGGAGGAAAAGAAACUAACAAGGAUUCCCUUAGUAACGGCGAGUGAAGCGGGAAGAGCUCAAAUUUGAAAUCUUCAAGGUUUUACCUUGACGAAUUGUAGUUUAAAGAGGUGUUUUCUGCUGAAGUUUUGGUAAAAGUUCUUUGGAAUAGGACAUCAUAGAGGGUGAGAAUCCCGUAUUUGACCAUUAUUUUCAGCUUUAUGAUACACUUUCAAAGAGUCGGAUUGUUUGGGAAUGCAGUCCAAAAUGGGUGGUAAAUUUCAUCUAAAGCUAAAUAUUGGCGAGAGACCGAUAGCGAACAAGUACCGUGAGGGAAAGAUGAAAAGAACUUUGAAAAGAGAGUUAAACAGUACGUGAAAUUGUCAAAAGGGAAGCGUUUGACACCAGUGUUGUUUUCUCGAAAAUCAAUUAAGAAUGGCUCGAUUUCGUAUUGCUUGAGACCUUAAAAGCUCACUGUACAUUUUUCGUGUCUUUUUUAAUGCACUUUUCGUUUAACAAGUCAACAUCAGUUUCUUUUGUUGUAAAAGGGUCAUUGGAAGGUGGCUUUCUUUUCGGAGAAAGUGUUUAUAGCCUUUGGCCUCUGCAAUCGGAGAGACUGAGGUCUGCAGCGUAGACUCUUCGGGGUUAGAUACAUUUGUGCUAAGUUAUAGCUUUUUAUAGACAACUUGUUGACUAUAAUUAGUCUUGUAGCUUACUCGCUUAUGCUAUUUUACCUACGCUUAGGAUGUUGAAGAUGUAGCACAUCAU
Molecule: ribosomal RNA, 775 nt
Filed under: uncultured Neocallimastigales
Lineage: Eukaryota; Fungi; Neocallimastigomycota; Neocallimastigomycetes; Neocallimastigales
Description: partial large subunit ribosomal RNA
Rfam family: Eukaryotic large subunit ribosomal RNA
Source: RNAcentral